CAUUAUGAAUUUUUGGAUACUAGUUGCUCUAAACGACUAGAACAUCCAUCUCCUUAUCCUGUGCAACGAAUUUUGUCGACUGGGGUUUGAAAAUAGUCUUUGGGGUUCCUCUCUUAAGGGGGGGGCCUCUUACCUGACCCCAAUAGGCAUUUCACUAUUAAACUACUUUUUAUAACUGAAUCCAACAAAAUUUUUCUUUAUGAAAAAAUUUAACCAAAUGGGUUGUAUAGUUAUCUAUAUCACUUGUUUGAAAAACAACUUUUAGCAAUAUAUCUCUUGGUUCUCCCAUCGAUAAAAAACGUAGCAAACUUCCAUAAUUAGUAUGAAUUGCAUUUAGUGAAUCAUCAAAUCUUUGAACUCACCUUGCACUCACUGGUAUUCCGGUGAGUACGCCUGUUUCAGUAUCAUUGAAAACACACAAUCAAAAAAGGGGGGGUUUUUUUUAUACCCAUUUUUUAUGAAUUGGUUUAGGUUCUAUCAAAAUUUUGCUUUUUUGAAAAAAACCCAACCGGCCUGAAAUAAUUGGUUUGGCUAAUUACAUCUUUAAUAAUCGCUAUUAAACUUUGGCUUUUUUAAAAAAACUUGAGGUUGAUUAACCCACUUUUACCUUUAAUUAAAUGGUAAUUCAAAAUCAAUCUUGGCUAGUUUUCUUAGCACAAAUAAAAAAAUAACCUUGAAAAUUCUUUUUCUUUUUCCUUGGCCAUGCAAAAACAAAACAUAAUCCUUUUUUUAUCAAUUGAAAUUCGGGUGGACUUCCCG
Molecule: unclassified non-coding RNA, 759 nt
Filed under: Apophysomyces mexicanus
Lineage: Eukaryota; Fungi; Mucoromycota; Mucoromycetes; Mucorales; Mucoraceae
Description: Apophysomyces sp. CBS 136361 sequence contains 18S rRNA gene, ITS1, 5.8S rRNA gene, ITS2, 28S rRNA gene
Rfam family: 5.8S ribosomal RNA (bases 257-407)
Source: RNAcentral